RNAcentral lists this ribosomal RNA (253 nucleotides) under uncultured bacterium. Its description in RNAcentral is "partial 16S ribosomal RNA". It matches the Rfam family "Bacterial small subunit ribosomal RNA", at positions 524 to 776 of the family's 1533-position model. The record is from RNAcentral.
UACGGAGGGGGCUAGCGUUGUUCGGAAUUACUGGGCGUAAAGCGCGCGUAGGCGGACCUGCAAGUCGGGGGUGAAAGCCCGAGGCUCAACCUCGGAACUGCCUUCGAUACUGCGGGUCUCGAGUCCGGGAGAGGUGAGUGGAAUUCCUAGUGUAGAGGUAAAAUUCGUAGAUAUUAGGAAGAACACCAGUGGCGAAGGCGGCUCACUGGCCCGGUACUGACGCUGAGGCGCGAAAGCGUGGGGAGCAAACAGG